CAGCCUUCAUUCUGCAACUCCAGCCACCCACCUGUGCCAACGUCAAGCCAGUUGGGAUUGCCUUGCUCAUGUGCCUCCUCCCAUCUGCUUUUUUCACCGUGUGUCUACAGCCUUAGAAAUAAGGACUCUUAGACAGCUGUCUUUAUGUUCCCAAGAAGUAUCUGUCUUUAAGCAAAUCUAGUCUGCAAAUUUUGGAUUUAUUCAAAAGCUUAAAUUAGGGUUUUUUUUUAAUAAACCUUGAAUUUCCCAAUUGAUUUACUGUAGGAUUUUUUGAGAGAACAAAUUCCCCAGAGAUUUAAAACUAGUCAGUUCACAGAAAAUCAGCUUAACUCAACAAAUGCUAAAUUGUGUACUAUGCUCAGAGCACUUUGUAAUGGGAAAUAGAAGAGCAGGACAAGGCCCUUCCCCUCAAGUCGCCUUGUCUGGCUGGGAAGAUGAGACAUGUGAAAUAGGUAAAUAACAGUAUGAGACAAUACUAUACGUGAUCAGUACGUGAGUGGCAGGGAUAGUAAAGUCUAUAAUGAGGCCUUCAGAAUAGGGCAAGGCAAUGAUAAGGGUGUAGCCCUUGAUAGCUUACCGAGUGCUUUCAUAUCUAUUAUCUUGUGUACAUAUGUGUAGGGUGGGGGAAAGAUGGGGGGAAAUGAAGAUUGAGAGAAAUCAUUCAGCUCUCCAAAUGGCAGAUCCUGGCUUGAAUCGAGGAAUUCUGAUGCUACAGGUUUACUUAGAGUCAUUGAGAGUUAUAUGCCUUCGGGCCACCUGACAGAGUGAAGCAUACUGCUUUCUGACUAGUAUUAAGACUUGUUAAUGUAGACUGCGUGUCCAAAAACCACCCUGCUGGAACAUGCUAGUUUACCAUGGCAAAGCUCUGUUUUGGGAAUAACGCCUUGCUGGAGACCUUUGAGAUUUGAAAUUUGGAAUGGAAAGGGCUCAAGAGAUUAUUAUUAAAAUAGAAUGGUUUUAGGGAAGACUGUUGCCGGAUGACAAGGCUGUCACUAUUGUUCUGUACUACCUGACAUUAUGGGACCAGGCCAGCCAGCUUCAACCUGUGUUCAUCUAGCACCUAGGACCCAACUUGAUGGGAGGAGCGACCCCAAAGUACUUCAGACCCAGAACCAGCUGCAGUUUAAUAGGAAUGUUCCUACACAUUCAAGCAACUUGGCGAUCCGAUAUUCUUGCCCACAUGCCAUUAGAAUUGAAAAACUGAAGCACUCAUACAAUGAAUCAUACCAUUGUAAAGAUGCAGAUUGUAGAGUUGGUCCUGACCUAGGCAGUUCUGUUUCAUUUUCCGUCAUAUCCCAAGAGAGACUUAGCUAUGCUGUCCACCUAGCCAGAAGAGAUGUGAAACGAAGACAAUUUGAAAAACAUAUAAAAGAACAUCAUCUCAGAAGUCAGCCUCAAAGCUCUCAGAAGUGUGGACAUACUAAGUAUAAAAUACCCGACCACAGGGUGGAAAGGAAGGAAUCAAAGAGUCAAGCAGCCUGUCAGUGCAGCCACCAGCCAUCCAAAGUAGAAAUCUCCAGCUCCGGUGCCAAAGUAUACCUUUACUCAUCUCAUCCAGGCCAGUCAGAUCUUACUGUGCCAAAUUCGCCACCCACCCAUGAUCCGGGACUUCAGCCUCAUCCCAGGAUAGGUGACCACAAAAACAUAAGUGAACAGAAAAGCCUGCUAGAAGUCCAGCGACUCCAGAAAGAACUGAGUAGUUGUAUCCACAAAAUUGAAGAGGUAACUAAAAAAGGUGAGAAAAAUUAGAUUCUUUACUUCGACCUAAGGCUGUGAGUAUGGGGUAGUUUAAAUGCAUUCCUUGAGG
Molecule: long non-coding RNA, 1807 nt
Filed under: Pan troglodytes (chimpanzee)
Lineage: Eukaryota; Metazoa; Chordata; Mammalia; Primates; Hominidae
Description: long non-coding RNA NONPTRT007050
Source: RNAcentral